GGAGCAGCCUGGUAGCUCGUCGGGCUCAUAACCCGAAGGUCGUCGGUUCAAAUCCGGCC
This 59-nucleotide transfer RNA is filed under the name Klebsiella aerogenes. Its description in RNAcentral is "tRNA-Met". It matches the Rfam family "tRNA", at positions 9 to 64 of the family's 71-position model. Rfam says of the family: Transfer RNA (tRNA) molecules are approximately 80 nucleotides in length. Their secondary structure includes four short double-helical elements and three loops (D, anti-codon, and T loops). Further hydrogen bonds mediate the characteristic L-shaped molecular structure. tRNAs have two regions of fundamental functional importance: the anti-codon, which is responsible for specific mRNA codon recognition, and the 3' end, to which the tRNAs corresponding amino acid is attached (by aminoacyl-tRNA synthetases). tRNAs cope with the degeneracy of the genetic code in two manners: having more than one tRNA (with a specific anti-codon) for a particular amino acid; and 'wobble' base-pairing, i.e. permitting non-standard base-pairing at the 3rd anti-codon position. RNAcentral also lists the same sequence under 43 other names. Lineage: Bacteria; Pseudomonadati; Pseudomonadota; Gammaproteobacteria; Enterobacterales; Enterobacteriaceae. The record is from RNAcentral.